UCGUCCCUGCGCUGUGCGUGAUGCCGGGGGGAAGUUUCAACCUCAUUCACCCAACGGGAGCCGCAACCGAGGGCGGUGCGCAAGCCCCUCAUCGAAGGGGAAGCCUGAAGCCCUCCACGAUGGCGCCCACCUGGUAGACACCAGGUUCGAAACACCUUCGGCACACGGCAGAGGUGGGGAUCAU
This 184-nucleotide non-coding RNA is filed under the name Candidatus Rokuibacteriota bacterium. RNAcentral's name for it is "Candidatus Rokubacteria bacterium (sediment metagenome) 6S RNA". It matches the Rfam family "6S / SsrS RNA". From Rfam's summary of the family: E. coli 6S RNA was the first non coding RNA to be sequenced, but its function was unknown until recently. It consists of 184 nucleotides that fold into an extended hairpin structure with a large single-stranded internal bulge. The 6S RNA specifically associates with RNA polymerase holoenzyme containing the sigma70 specificity factor. The record is from RNAcentral. Lineage: Bacteria; Candidatus Rokuibacteriota.